GGCCUUGACAUACUAAGAACUUUCAGAGAUGGAUUGGUGCCUUCGGGAACUUAGAUACAGGUGCUGCAUGGCUGUCGUCAGCUCGUGUCGUGAGAUGUUGGGUUAAGUCCGCAACGAGCGCAACCCUUUUCCUUAUUUGCCAGCGGGUAAUGCCGGGAACUUUAAGGAUACUGCCAGUGACAAACUGGAGGAAGGCGGGGACGACGUCAAGUCAUCAUGGCCCUUACGGCCAGGGCUACACACGUGCUACAAUGGUCGGUACAAAGGGUUGCUACCUCGCGAGAGGAUGCUAAUCUCAAAAAGCCGAUCGUAGUCCGGAUCGCAGUCUGCAACUCGACUGCGUGAAGUCGGAAUCGCUAGUAAUCGCGGAUCAGAAUGCCGCGGUGAAUACGUUCCCGGGCCUUGUACACACCGCCCGUCACACCAUGGGAGUUUGUUGCACCAGAAGUAGGUAGUCUAACCGCAAGGAGGACGCUUACCACGGUGUGGCCGAUGACUGGGGUGAAGUCGUAACAAGGUAGGCGUAGAUGA
RNAcentral lists this ribosomal RNA (531 nucleotides) under uncultured bacterium. RNAcentral describes it as "bacterial SSU rRNA". It matches the Rfam family "Bacterial small subunit ribosomal RNA", at positions 977 to 1509 of the family's 1533-position model. The record is from RNAcentral.